CCUGACCCUAGAAGUGUAGGUGUGGCUGCCGUGUCAUGUGUGCAUCAGUAGGUGACAGAGAGAAGAGAGGCUAUGUCUAUACUCAGUGUUCUGACCUAUGAACAUCUGAAUGUUUAGUAGCCUAACACU
Small nucleolar RNA from Acomys russatus (golden spiny mouse), 129 nucleotides. RefSeq annotates it as small nucleolar RNA SNORA17. The record is from RefSeq and is a predicted model, not a curated record. The transcript has a single exon. Lineage: Eukaryota; Metazoa; Chordata; Mammalia; Rodentia; Muridae.